UACGGAAGGCAGCAGUGGGGAAUAUUGCACAAUGGGCGCAAGCCUGAUGCAGCCAUGCCGCGUGUAUGAAGAAGGCCUUCGGGUUGUAAAGUACUUUCAGCGGGGAGGAAGGCGGUGGAGUUAAUAGCUUCACCGAUUGACGUUACCCGCAGAAGAAGCACCGGCUAACUCCGUGCCAGCAGCCGCGGUAAUACGGAGGGUGCAAGCGUUAAUCGGAAUUACUGGGCGUAAAGCGCACGCAGGCGGUCUGUCAAGUCGGAUGUGAAAUCCCCGGGCUUAACCUGGGAACUGCAUUCGAAACUGGCAGGCUAGAGUCUUGUAGAGGGGGUAGAAUUCCAGGUGUAGCGGUGAAAUGCGUAGAGAUCUGGAGGAAUACCGGUGGCGAAGGCGGCCCCUGGGACAAGACUGACGCUCAGGUGCGAAAGCGUGGGGAGCAAACGAGGAUUAGGAUACC
RNAcentral lists this ribosomal RNA (454 nucleotides) under uncultured bacterium. RNAcentral describes it as "bacterial SSU rRNA". It matches the Rfam family "Bacterial small subunit ribosomal RNA", at positions 340 to 786 of the family's 1533-position model. The record is from RNAcentral.